GAUGAACGCUGGCGGCGUGCCUAAUACAUGCAAGUCGAGCGAACAGAUGAGGAGCUUGCUCCUCUGACGUUAGCGGCGGACGGGUGAGUAACACGUGGAUAACCUACCUAUAAGACUGGGAUAACUUCGGGAAACCGGAGCUAAUACCGGAUAAUAUAUUGAACCGCAUGGUUCAAUAGUGAAAGACGGUUUUGCUGUCACUUAUAGAUGGAUCCGCGCCGCAUUAGCUAGUUGGUAAGGUAACGGCUUACCAAGGCAACGAUGCGUAGCCGACCUGAGAGGGUGAUCGGCCACACUGGAACUGAGAAACGGUCCAGACUCCUAAGGGAGGCAGCAGUAGGGAAUCUUCCGCAAUGGGCGAAAGCCUGACGGAGCAACGCCGCGUGAGUGAUGAAGGUCUUCGGAUCGUAAAACUCUGUUAUUAGGGAAGAACAAAUGUGUAAGUAACUAUGCACGUCUUGACGGUACCUAAUCAGAAAGCCACGGCUAACUACGUG
Molecule: ribosomal RNA, 497 nt
Filed under: uncultured bacterium
Lineage: Bacteria
Description: partial 16S ribosomal RNA
Rfam family: Bacterial small subunit ribosomal RNA
Source: RNAcentral